This 253-nucleotide ribosomal RNA is filed under the name uncultured bacterium. RNAcentral's name for it is "partial 16S ribosomal RNA". It matches the Rfam family "Bacterial small subunit ribosomal RNA", at positions 524 to 776 of the family's 1533-position model. The record is from RNAcentral.
UACAGAGGUGGCAAGCGUUGUUCGGAAUUACUGGGCGUAAAGGGCGCGUAGGCGGUCUUGUAAGUCUUGUGUGAAAUCCCUCGGCUUAACUGAGGAACUGCACGGGAUACUGCGAGACUUGAGAUCGGGAGAGGGAAGCGGAAUUCUUGGUGUAGCGGUGAAAUGCGUAGAUAUCAAGAGGAACACCUGAGGUGAAGACGGGUUGCUGGGCUGACACUGACGCUGAGGCGCGAAAGCCAGGGGAGCAAACGGG